This 400-nucleotide ribosomal RNA is filed under the name uncultured bacterium. RNAcentral's name for it is "bacterial SSU rRNA". It matches the Rfam family "Bacterial small subunit ribosomal RNA", at positions 355 to 771 of the family's 1533-position model. The record is from RNAcentral.
UCGAGAAUCUUCCGCAAUGGGCGAAAGCCUGACGGAGCGACGCCGCGUGAUCGAUGAAGUCUUUCGGGAUGUAAAGAUCUUUUAUGAGCAAGAAAGUUAUUGAUCAGCUCAUGAAUAAGAGGUUGCUAAACUCGUGCCAGCAGCAGCGGUAAUACGAGUGCCUCGAGCGUUAUCCGGAAUUAUUGGGCGUAAAGGGUGUGUAGGUGGUUGUGUUAGUCUCCUGUUAAAUUCUUCGGCUUAACCGGGGUCCUGCGGGAGAAACGGCACAACUAGAGGAUGCGAGAGGUGUACGGAACUCUAAGUGUAGGGGUGAAAUCCGUUGAUAUUUAGGGGAACACCAAAAGCGAAGGCAGUACACUGGCGCAUUCCUGACACUGAAACACGAAAGCGUAGGUAGCGA